CCUACGGGAGGCAGCAGUGAGGAAUAUUGGUCAAUGGACGAGAGUCUGAACCAGCCAAGUAGCGUGAAGGAUGACUGCCCUAUGGGUUGUAAACUUCUUUUAUAUGGGAAUAAAAUGUUCCACGUGUGGGAUUUUGUAUGUAACAUAUGAAUAAGGAUCGGCUAACUCCGUGCCAGCAGCAGCGGUAAUACGGAGGAUCCGAGCUUUAUCCGGAUUUAUUGGGUGGAAAGGGAGCGUAGGUGGAUUGUUAAGUCAGUUGUGAAAGUGUGCGGCUCAACCGUAAAAUUGCAGUUGAAACUGGCAGUCUAGAGUACAGUAGAGGUGGGCGGAAUUCGUGGUGUAGCGGUGAAAUGCUUAGAUAUCACGAAGAACUCCGAUUGCGAAGGCAGCUCACUGGACUGCAACUGACACUGAGGCUCGAAAGUGUGGGUAUCAAACAGGAUUAGAUACCCCAGUAGUC
This 460-nucleotide ribosomal RNA is filed under the name uncultured bacterium. RNAcentral's name for it is "partial 16S ribosomal RNA". It matches the Rfam family "Bacterial small subunit ribosomal RNA", at positions 338 to 795 of the family's 1533-position model. The record is from RNAcentral.